ACACGACUACAUUAGAUACCCCGGUAGUCCUAGCCGUAAACGAUACUCGCUAGGUGUCGGCCACGGUGCGACCGUUGUCGGUGCCGUAGGGAAGCCGCGAAGCAAGCCACCUGGGAAGUACGGCCGCAAGGCUGAAACUUAAAGGAAUUGGCGGGGGAGCACAACAACGGGUGGAGCUUGCGGUUUAAUUGGAUUCAACGCCGGAAAUCUUACCGGGACCGACAGCAACAUGAAGGCCAAGCUGAAGACUUUGCCGGAUUAGCUG
RNAcentral lists this ribosomal RNA (265 nucleotides) under uncultured archaeon. RNAcentral describes it as "partial 16S ribosomal RNA". It matches the Rfam family "Archaeal small subunit ribosomal RNA", at positions 717 to 982 of the family's 1478-position model. The record is from RNAcentral.